This 397-nucleotide ribosomal RNA is filed under the name Proteus mirabilis. RNAcentral's name for it is "bacterial SSU rRNA". It matches the Rfam family "Bacterial small subunit ribosomal RNA", at positions 1 to 393 of the family's 1533-position model. The record is from RNAcentral. Lineage: Bacteria; Pseudomonadati; Pseudomonadota; Gammaproteobacteria; Enterobacterales; Morganellaceae.
UUAAUUGAAGAGUUUGAUCAUGGCUCAGAUUGAACGCUGGCGGCAGGCCUAACACAUGCAAGUCGAGCGGUAACAGGAGAAAGCUUGCUUUCUUGCUGACGAGCGGCGGACGGGUGAGUAAUGUAUGGGGAUCUGCCCGAUAGAGGGGGAUAACUACUGGAAACGGUGGCUAAUACCGCAUAAUGUCUACGGACCAAAGCAGGGGCUCUUCGGACCUUGCACUAUCGGAUGAACCCAUAUGGGAUUAGCUAGUAGGUGGGGUAAAGGCUCACCUAGGCGACGAUCUCUAGCUGGUCUGAGAGGAUGAUCAGCCACACUGGGACUGAGACACGGCCCAGACUCCUACGGGAGGCAGCAGUGGGGAAUAUUGCACAAUGGGCGCAAGCCUGAUGCAGCC